GACGAACGCUGGCGGCGUGCUUAACACAUGCGAGUCGAACGGAAAGGCCCUGCUUUUGUGGGGUGCUCGAGUGGCGAACGGGUGAGUAACACGUGAGUAACCUGCCCUUGACUUUGGGAUAACUUCAGGAAACUGGGGCUAAUACCGGAUAGGAGCUCCUGCUGCAUGGUGGGGGUUGGAAAGUUUCGGCGGUUGGGGAUGGACUCGCGGCUUAUCAGCUUGUUGGUGGGGUAGUGGCUUACCAAGGCUUUGACGGGUAGCCGGCCUGGGAGGGUGACCGGCCACAUUGGGACUGAGAUGCGGCCCAGACUCCUACGGGAGGCAGCAGUGGGGAAUAGUGCACAAUGGGCGGAAGCCGGAUGCAGCAACGCCGCGUGCGGGAUGACGGCCUUCGGGGUGUAAACCGCUUUCGCCUGUGACGAAGCGUGAGUGACGGUAAUGGGUAAAGAAGCACCGGCUAACUACGUG
Molecule: ribosomal RNA, 468 nt
Filed under: uncultured bacterium
Lineage: Bacteria
Description: partial 16S ribosomal RNA
Rfam family: Bacterial small subunit ribosomal RNA
Source: RNAcentral